Molecule: ribosomal RNA, 262 nt
Filed under: Rhizoctonia solani
Lineage: Eukaryota; Fungi; Basidiomycota; Agaricomycetes; Cantharellales; Ceratobasidiaceae
Description: partial 28S rRNA
Rfam family: Eukaryotic large subunit ribosomal RNA
Source: RNAcentral
UAAGUCAGAACCGUGCUAGAAACGAUGAUGUUGGUCCCGCACAUAUUAGCUGUGUUAAAAUAGAGCUUUGCUCGUGAACCAAAUCAGACAGACGUGGAUGCUGCAGUGGAAAUCUGUGGUGUCUAGUUUGUGAAUUGUAAUUACCAUAUGGGCGGGGGUGAAUCCUUUGCAGACGACUUGAAUGGGAACGGGGUACUGUAAGCAGUAGAGUAGCCUUGUUGCUACGAUCUGCUGAGGUUAAGCCCUUGUUCUAAAGAUUUGU